Molecule: ribosomal RNA, 520 nt
Filed under: uncultured bacterium
Lineage: Bacteria
Description: bacterial SSU rRNA
Rfam family: Bacterial small subunit ribosomal RNA
Source: RNAcentral
CUACGUGCCAGCAGCCGCGGUAAUACGUAGGGCGCGAGCGUUGUCCGGAAUUAUUGGGCGUAAAGAGCUUGUAGGCGGUUUGUCGCGUCUGCUGUGAAAGGCCGGGGCUUAACCCCGUGUAUUGCAGUGGGUACGGGCAGACUAGAGUGCAGUAGGGGAGACUGGAAUUCCUGGUGUAGCGGUGGAAUGCGCAGAUAUCAGGAGGAACACCGAUGGCGAAGGCAGGUCUCUGGGCUGUAACUGACGCUGAGAAGCGAAAGCAUGGGGAGCGAACAGGAUUAGAUACCCUGGUAGUCCAUGCCGUAAACGUUGGGCACUAGGUGUGGGGGACAUUCCACGUUUUCCGCGCCGUAGCUAACGCAUUAAGUGCCCCGCCUGGGGAGUACGGCCGCAAGGCUAAAACUCAAAGAAAUUGACGGGGGCCCGCACAAGCGGUGGAGCAUGUGGUUUAAUUCGAAGCAACGCGAAGAACCUUACCAGGUCUUGACGUCCCUCUGACCGCUCUAGAGAUAGAGUUUUC